This 498-nucleotide ribosomal RNA is filed under the name uncultured bacterium. RNAcentral's name for it is "partial 16S ribosomal RNA". It matches the Rfam family "Bacterial small subunit ribosomal RNA", at positions 30 to 523 of the family's 1533-position model. The record is from RNAcentral.
AUUGAACGCUGGCGGCAUGCCUUACACAUGCAAGUCGAACGGUAACAGGUCAUCGGAUGCUGACGAGUGGCGAACGGGUGAGUAAUGCAUCGGAACGUGCCCAGUUGUGGGGGAUAACUGCUCGAAAGAGCAGCUAAUACCGCAUACGACCUGAGGGUGAAAGCGGGGGAUCGCAAGACCUCGCGCAAUUGGAGCGGCCGAUGUCAGAUUAGGUAGUUGGUGGGGUAAAGGCCUACCAAGCCGACGAUCUGUAGUUGGUCUGAGAGGACGACCAGCCACACUGGGACUGAGACACGGCCCAGACUCCUACGGGAGGCAGCAGUGGGGAAUUUUGGACAAUGGGCGCAAGCCUGAUCCAGCAAUGCCGCGUGCAGGAAGAAGGCCUUCGGGUUGUAAACUGCUUUUGUCAGGGAAGAAAUCCUCUGGGUUAAUACCCCGGGGGGAUGACGGUACCUGAAGAAUAAGCACCGGCUAACUACGUGCCAGCAGCCGCCGCAG